GACGAACGCUGGCGGCGUGCCUAAUACAUGCAAGUAGAACGCACAGUUUAUACCGUAGCUUGCUACACCAUAGACUGUGAGUUACGAACGGGUGAGUAACGCGUAGGUAACCUGCCUGGUAGCGGGGGAUAACUAUUGGAAACGAUAGCUAAUACCGCAUAAUAUUAAUUAUUGCAUGAUAAUUAAUUGAAAGGUGCAAUUGCACCACUACCAGAUGGACCUGCGUUGUAUUAGCUAGUAGGUGAGGUAACGGCUCACCUAGGCGACGAUACAUAGCCGACCUGAGAGGGUGAUCGGCCACACUGGGACUGAGACACGGCCCAGACUCCUACGGGAGGCAGCAGUAGGGAAUCUUCGGCAAUGGACGAAAGUCUGACCGAGCAACGCCGCGUGAGUGAAGAAGGUUUUCGGAUCGUAAAGCUCUGUUGUAAGAGAAGAACGGGUGUGAGAGUAGAAAGUUCACACUGUGACGGUAGCUUACCAGAAAGGGACGGCUAACUACGUG
RNAcentral lists this ribosomal RNA (505 nucleotides) under uncultured bacterium. RNAcentral describes it as "partial 16S ribosomal RNA". It matches the Rfam family "Bacterial small subunit ribosomal RNA", at positions 28 to 507 of the family's 1533-position model. The record is from RNAcentral.